This 253-nucleotide ribosomal RNA is filed under the name uncultured bacterium. Its description in RNAcentral is "partial 16S ribosomal RNA". It matches the Rfam family "Bacterial small subunit ribosomal RNA", at positions 524 to 776 of the family's 1533-position model. The record is from RNAcentral.
UACGGAGGGAGCUAGCGUUGUUCGGAAUUACUGGGCGUAAAGCGCACGUAGGCGGCUUUGUAAGUUAGAGGUGAAAGCCCGGGGCUCAACUCCGGAACUGCCUUUAAGACUGCAUCGCUUGAAUCCGGGAGAGGUGAGUAGAAUUCCGAGUGUAGAGGUGAAAUUCGUAGAUAUUCGGAAGAACACCAGUGGCGAAGGCGGCUCACUGGACCGGUAUUGACGCUGAGGUGCGAAAGCGUGGGGAGCAAACAGG